CCUUAAAGAACCUGACUUUGUAGUGCUCACACAGAUUGUCUGAUGAACGUAAAGAAGCAAGGCGUCUUGCGAUUGAGACUUCAGUGUCCCCUUCGUCUAGAGGCCCAGGACACCGCCCUUUCACGGCGGUAACAGGGGUUCGAAUCCCCUAGGGGACGCCACUUGCUGGUUCGUGAGUGAAAGACGCGUGCCGAGGUAUCUCAAAACUCAUCUUCGGGUGAUGUUUGAGAUAUUUGCUCUUUAAAAAUCUGGAUCAAGCUGAAAAUUGAAACGACACACAGUUAAUGUGUGUUCGAGUCUCUCAAAUUUUCGCAAUCAGAAGUGAAACAUCUUCGGGUUGUGA
Molecule: unclassified non-coding RNA, 343 nt
Filed under: Klebsiella pneumoniae subsp. pneumoniae
Lineage: Bacteria; Pseudomonadati; Pseudomonadota; Gammaproteobacteria; Enterobacterales; Enterobacteriaceae
Description: partial 16S-23S ribosomal RNA intergenic spacer
Rfam family: Salmonella enterica Typhi npcRNA 44 (bases 239-336)
Source: RNAcentral